This 373-nucleotide ribosomal RNA is filed under the name uncultured bacterium. Its description in RNAcentral is "bacterial SSU rRNA". It matches the Rfam family "Bacterial small subunit ribosomal RNA", at positions 521 to 896 of the family's 1533-position model. The record is from RNAcentral.
UAAUACGGAGGGUGCAAGCGUUAUCCGGAUUUACUGGGUUUAAAGGGUGCGUAGGCGGGCAGGUAAGUCAGUGGUGAAAUCCCCGAGCUCAACUUGGGAACUGCCGUUGAUACUAUCUGUCUUGAAUACCGUGGAGGUGAGCGGAAUAUGUCAUGUAGCGGUGAAAUGCUUAGAUAUGACAUAGAACACCGAUUGCGAAGGCAGCUCACUACGCGGUCAUUGACGCUGAGGCACGAAAGCGUGGGGAUCAAACAGGAUUAGAUACCCUGGUAGUCCACGCCCUAAACGAUGAUCACUCGACACCAGCGAUAUACUGUUGGUGUCUGAGCUAAAGCAUUAAGUGAUCCACCUGGGAAGUACGAUCGCAAGAUUG